This 465-nucleotide ribosomal RNA is filed under the name Vreelandella stevensii. RNAcentral describes it as "partial 16S ribosomal RNA". It matches the Rfam family "Bacterial small subunit ribosomal RNA", at positions 338 to 795 of the family's 1533-position model. Lineage: Bacteria; Pseudomonadati; Pseudomonadota; Gammaproteobacteria; Oceanospirillales; Halomonadaceae. The record is from RNAcentral.
CCUACGGGUGGCUGCAGUGGGGAAUAUUGGACAAUGGGCGAAAGCCUGAUCCAGCCAUGCCGCGUGUGUGAAGAAGGCCUUCGGGUUGUAAAGCACUUUCAGUGGGGAAGAAAGCCUUGGGGCUAAUACCCUCGAGGAAGGACAUCACCCACAGAAGAAGCACCGGCUAACUCCGUGCCAGCAGCCGCGGUAAUACGGAGGGUGCGAGCGUUAAUCGGAAUUACUGGGCGUAAAGCGCGCGUAGGCGGUCUGAUAAGCCGGUUGUGAAAGCCCCGGGCUCAACCUGGGAACGGCAUCCGGAACUGUCAGGCUAGAGUGCAGGAGAGGAAGGUAGAAUUCCCGGUGUAGCGGUGAAAUGCGUAGAGAUCGGGAGGAAUACCAGUGGCGAAGGCGGCCUUCUGGACUGACACUGACGCUGAGGUGCGAAAGCGUGGGUAGCAAACAGGAUUAGAUAACCCAGUAGUC